RNAcentral lists this ribosomal RNA (566 nucleotides) under uncultured bacterium. RNAcentral describes it as "bacterial SSU rRNA". It matches the Rfam family "Bacterial small subunit ribosomal RNA", at positions 28 to 636 of the family's 1533-position model. The record is from RNAcentral.
GAUGAACGCUGGCGGUAUGCUUUACACAUGCAAGUCGUACGAGAGUUUUGAACUCAAGUGGCGGACGGGUGAGUAACACGUAAGAAUUUGCCUUUAGGAGGGGGACAACAACUGGAAACGGUUGCUAAUACCCCAUAUGCUUUCGAGUGAAACGGUUUUUCCGCCUAAAGAGAAGCUUGCGGCUGAUUAGCUUGUUGGUAAGGUAAUGGCUUACCAAGGCGACGAUCAGUAUCUGGUUUGAGAGGACGAUCAGACACACUGGAACUGAGACACGGUCCAGACUCCUACGGGAGGCAGCAGUGGGGAAUUUUCCGCAAUGGGCGAAAGCCUGACGGAGCAAUACCGCGUGAGGGAUGAAUGCCUAUGGGUUGUAAACCUCUUUUUUCAGGGAGGAAUCAAUGACGUUACCUGAAGAAUAAGCAUCGGCUAACUCCGUGCCAGCAGCCGCGGUAAGACGGAGGAUGCAAGUGCUAUCCGGAAUCACUGGGCGUAAAGCGUCUGUAGGUGGUUUGAUAAGUCAACUGUUAAAUCUUGAGGCUCAACCUCAAAACCGCAGUCGAAACUAU